CGUGUAGGCGGUUUGUUAAGUCUGAUGUGAAAGCCCCGGGCUCAACCUGGGAAGUGCAUUGGAAACUGGCAGACUUGAAUACGGGAGAGGGUAGUGGAAUUCCUAGUGUAGGAGUGAAAUCCGUAGAUAUUAGGAGGAACACCGGUGGCGAAGGCGGCUGCCUGGACCGAUAUUGACGCUGAGACGCGAAAGCGUGGGUAGCAAACA
This 207-nucleotide ribosomal RNA is filed under the name uncultured delta proteobacterium. RNAcentral's name for it is "partial 16S ribosomal RNA". It matches the Rfam family "Bacterial small subunit ribosomal RNA", at positions 568 to 774 of the family's 1533-position model. Lineage: Bacteria; Deltaproteobacteria. The record is from RNAcentral.